Molecule: ribosomal RNA, 109 nt
Filed under: uncultured bacterium
Lineage: Bacteria
Description: partial 16S ribosomal RNA
Source: RNAcentral
UGGUGAAUAUUGCUAGCAAAGGGCGAAAGACCUGAUGCAGCAACAACCGCCUGAGGCAGAUGAAGACCUCUUGGGUCGUAAAGACUCUUCUUUGAAUGAACCAAAUGAC